RNAcentral lists this transfer RNA (62 nucleotides) under Cucujoidea sp. 22 KM-2017. Its description in RNAcentral is "tRNA-Ser". The record is from RNAcentral. Lineage: Eukaryota; Metazoa; Arthropoda; Insecta; Coleoptera.
AAUCAAUGAACUUGAAUAAGUAACUAUUUUGAAAAUAGUAAAUAGAUUAAAUCUAUUGAUUU